CAUGUGAACAAGAGUUGCCCGGAGCAGAAGUUUUAGAAACUUCUGAGGAGAAGAAUCUUCACAGCGAAGAAAAGAAAGAGCAUGCCAUGCUGCUUUGAUGUUCAAGACUAAUGAUCUUCUUGCACGGUUAUCUUGCAACCAUCCUAUGUAUGGAAGGGCUUGCUAUUGCAUAUGCCCUGCAGACUCAGAAGUAUCUGAGGGGGGUUGCUGGAUGCAUCACCCUUCCAUUGCCCGAAGGAAAGGAGUGGGCUGUUUGCUGUGUUACCGGAUAGGGUGCUGCAAGGUUGGGCAAGAGAUGCCCUGAGUUUGUAUGGCAAGAUGACUUGAAAAAAGGUGAUGAUUUUGUCUUUGAGCUGAUCGGAACGAGAUAUGUGGUUCUGAAAAGUUACCAUUUUUUGAGUUCUUGAAUUUGCUUGAGCACCAGCUAUGAAACCCUGAAGUAGAAUAUUCAACAAACCAAUAUAAUCUAUAAUCUCGUGGUUUAUAA
Carica papaya (papaya) is the source of this 487-nucleotide non-coding RNA. The record is from RefSeq and is a predicted model, not a curated record. NCBI's taxonomy places the organism in Eukaryota, Viridiplantae, Streptophyta, Magnoliopsida, Brassicales, Caricaceae.